UACGGGGGGGGCAAGCGUUGUUCGGAAUUACUGGGCGUAAAGGGCUCGUAGGUGGCCAACUAAGUCAGACGUGAAAUCCCUCGGCUUAACCGGGGAACUGCGUCUGAUACUGGAUGGCUUGAGUUUGGGAGAGGGAUGCGGAAUUCCAGGUGUAGCGGUGAAAUGCGUAGAUAUCUGGAGGAACACCGGUGGCGAAGGCGGCAUCCUGGACCAACACUGACACUGAGGAGCGUAAGCCAGGGGAGCAAACGGG
Molecule: ribosomal RNA, 253 nt
Filed under: uncultured bacterium
Lineage: Bacteria
Description: partial 16S ribosomal RNA
Rfam family: Bacterial small subunit ribosomal RNA
Source: RNAcentral